This 253-nucleotide ribosomal RNA is filed under the name uncultured bacterium. RNAcentral's name for it is "partial 16S ribosomal RNA". It matches the Rfam family "Bacterial small subunit ribosomal RNA", at positions 524 to 776 of the family's 1533-position model. The record is from RNAcentral.
GACAGAGGGCUCAAACGUUGUUCGGAAUCACUGGGCAUAAAGGGCGCGUAGGCGGCUCGUUAAGUCGGUUGUGAAAUCCCCCGGCUCAACCGGGGAACGGCAUCCGAUACUGGCGGGCUCGAGGACGGGAGGGGUAAGUGGAACUCCAGGUGGAACGGUGAAAUGCGUAGAUAUCUGGAGGAAUACCGGUGGCGAAGGCGGCAUCCUGGACCGGCAUUGACGCUGAGGAGCGAAAGCCAGGGGAGCAAACGGG